This 519-nucleotide ribosomal RNA is filed under the name uncultured bacterium. Its description in RNAcentral is "bacterial SSU rRNA". It matches the Rfam family "Bacterial small subunit ribosomal RNA", at positions 8 to 523 of the family's 1533-position model. The record is from RNAcentral.
AGAGUUUGAUCCUGGCUCAGGAUGAACGCUGGCGGCGUGCCUAACACAUGCAAGUCGAGCGAGAUUAAGUGGAGUGGAGACUUCGGUCAAAGUGAAGCUUAUGAAAGCGGCGGACGGGUGAGUAACGCGUGGGCAACCUGCCCCAUACAGAGGGAUAGCCACUGGAAACGGUGAUUAAUACCACAUAAGUCUUUAAAGUCGCAUGACUUAGAAGACAAAGAUUUAUCGGUAUGGGAUGGGCCCGCGUCUGAUUAGCUAGUUGGUGAGGUAACGGCUCACCAAGGCGACGAUCAGUAGCCGACCUGAGAGGGUGAUCGGCCACACUGGAACUGAGACACGGUCCAGACUCCUACGGGAGGCAGCAGUGGGGAAUAUUGCACAAUGGGCGCAAGCCUGAUGCAGCAACGCCGCGUGAGUGAUGAAGGCCUUCGGGUUGUAAAACUCUGUCCUAUGGGAAGAAACAAAUGACGGUACCAUGGGAGGAAGCCCCGGCUAACUACGUGCCAGCAGCCGCGGUAA